Long non-coding RNA from Culex quinquefasciatus (southern house mosquito), 619 nucleotides. RefSeq lists it as uncharacterized. The record is from RefSeq and is a predicted model, not a curated record. NCBI's taxonomy places the organism in Eukaryota, Metazoa, Arthropoda, Insecta, Diptera, Culicidae. The transcript has 3 exons.
UAUGAGUCAUUAUGUCAAAACAAUAUUUUGCCGAAAAUCAGACGAGCGAAGUAUCGCAAGCGUAGUUGACGUGGAUUUACUCAGUUUCCAAAACUUGUGCGAUCUGACUCAAAUACAAUGGCACGUGAAAUCAACCUCGGGAUUGCCCAACUGACGAUUGUCGUGGGAUCCGUACCUGUCAUUCUGUACCUUCCUGAAAGUCUUCUGAGCCGCAUAUAUCAGUUGACUGGCAACGACAUGACCGGUGUGGACCAAACUAACGAUAAAGCCGAAGCGGACGAUGAUAUAGAACCAACCGUCGACCAACAGUAAAACAACCGCAACAUUUUGACAAGGAUUAUUAAUAACAUCAGCUGGAGAUUUCCUAGCACCUGGCUCGGCGAGUCAAAAUGGCCCCGGGUUGGAAGGGUUUUCGGACCGAUUAUAAACAUCGGGUAAUCUGAAGACCCUUCAGCAUAAUUGGUAAAUCUUUGGCUUAAGAUCGAACAAGUAUUGUAAAUUGAGUAAAUCCACAACGAAAUGGUACUUUAUGCUCGUCUCCACCGUACAACAUCUAACGGUUAAGUACCAUUUCGAAAACAACCCGCAACUCGUCUGUGAUAAAAAGAAAAUCAAACUA